Molecule: long non-coding RNA, 306 nt
Filed under: Androctonus crassicauda
Lineage: Eukaryota; Metazoa; Arthropoda; Arachnida; Scorpiones; Buthidae
Source: RNAcentral
CAUGGAGGCAAUCGAACCAAAGAAACUGUUGGAAAAAGUAAAGCAGGAGGUCAACCUCAAAGACUUAAAAGUGAGGGUAUUGUGUCAAGGAGGUUACUUUAUCUGGCAAUACUUUCCAAUGACAACGAACCCCACUUGUAUUCAUUUUUCCAAGCAGAGCGGAUGUGUCUUUGCUAGUUACUGUAGUUUUUGUAUAUCCAUGUGCAUCCAAAUAAAGGAAUAGUAUUUAAGGUUCUUAGUUGUAUUUCUUCCAACAAAGAUCACUCAAAAGGAGUAACAUAUCAGGUUAUGGGCACAGCACUGCAU